Molecule: transfer RNA, 74 nt
Filed under: Bacillota bacterium
Lineage: Bacteria; Bacillati; Bacillota
Description: tRNA-Gly
Rfam family: tRNA
About the family: Transfer RNA (tRNA) molecules are approximately 80 nucleotides in length. Their secondary structure includes four short double-helical elements and three loops (D, anti-codon, and T loops).
Source: RNAcentral
GCGGUAUUGGUGUAGAGGUAACAUAAGAGCCUUCCAAGCUUGGGUCGCGGGUUCGAUUCCCGCAUACCGCUCCA